This 562-nucleotide unclassified non-coding RNA is filed under the name Hevea brasiliensis (rubber tree). The record is from RNAcentral. Lineage: Eukaryota; Viridiplantae; Streptophyta; Magnoliopsida; Malpighiales; Euphorbiaceae.
GUUUCUUGAUCAUGGAUUUGUCACCUGUUAUCACAAAUGAGAAAACCAUAAUGAAAAAUAGACCAUACUUAAUUUUUCAAUAAUAUAUAUAUAUGUAUAUGCCAAACUAUGAUUAUGACAUUAGCAACAUAUAAUAAUUAAUACUCUAAUGGAAUUGCCAAAUUAUAUAUAUAUUUCCAAGAAAGCUCAGUCUUUCUAGCCUGGAAUAAUCAAGAUUCAAGACCAAUCAGUCAUUUCAAGUGUCUAUCGAAUUCGAUUCGAGUUUUCAUCAGAACUAAAUAAAAAAUAUAUAAUAAUAUUACUUCCAUCAAAUAUAUCUUGAUUAAUCUUCUCACUUAUAUACAUAAAUUCAAGAAUUUUUAUUUGAUAAUUAUCAUAUUGUGUAGUUCAGAGGAGUACUUGCAUCGUCAAAACAGAGAUAAAAAAAAAAUGGAAAAAAAGAGCAUUAAAGUUUGUGAAACGAUAUAUAUCAAGAAAACAUUGCAAGAACUAUACAGAAUUCAAGAGCAAUAAAAGAUUUAAGAAGAAAAAAUGAUCUUACACAUGCGCUUGAACUUUUCUU